AACGAACGCUGGCGGCGUGGCUAAGACAUGCAAGUCGAACGAACUGCUCAAUUUAUUGAACAGUUAGUGGCGAAAGGGUUAGUAAUGGAUAGGUAACGUGCCCUGUGCUCCGGAAUAGCGUCGUUCGCCUUCGGGCGAGCUACCGAAAGGGACGGUAAUACCGGGAAUAUCAUUUGUCGAUAGGCAUAUGAUCAAAGAUUUAUCGGCUCAGGAGCGGCCUAUCUCCUAUCAGCUUGUUGGUGGGGUAAUGGCCUACCAAGGCGGCGACGGGUAGCGGGACUGAGAGGUUGACCCGCAACAUCGGGACUGAGACACUGCCCGGACCUCCACGGAGGGCUGCAGUAACGAAUCUUGCGCAAUGGGCGAAAGCCUGACGCAGCGACGCCGCGUGUAGGAGGAAGUCUUUCGGGAUGUAAACUACUGUCAGGAGUAAGAAAGUCCGCUCCGGCGGAUUGAUCUAACCCAAAGGAAGUCACGGCUAACUUCGUGCCAGCAGCCGCGGUAAGACGAAGGUGGCGAGCGUUGUUCGGUGUUACUGGGCUUAAAGAGUGUGUAGGCGGAAAAGUAAGCGUCCUGUGAAAGCCCUCGGCUUAACCGAGGAAUCGCUCGACGAACUGCUUUUCUUGAGGCAAGUAGGGGUGCAUGGAACUCUUGGUGGAGCGGUGGAAUGCGUAGAUAUCAAGAGGAACGCCGGUGGAGAAAUCGGUGCACUGGGCUUGUCCUGACGCUGAGACACAAAAGCGUGGGGAGCGAACGGGAUUAGAUACCCCGGUAGUCCACGCCGUAAACGAUGUCUACUAGGUUGUGGUGGUUCUGACACCAGCACGGCCGAAGCAAAAGUGUUAAGUAGACCGCCUGGGGAGACGGUCGCAAGGCU
RNAcentral lists this ribosomal RNA (877 nucleotides) under uncultured Planctomycetota bacterium. Its description in RNAcentral is "bacterial SSU rRNA". It matches the Rfam family "Bacterial small subunit ribosomal RNA", at positions 28 to 895 of the family's 1533-position model. Lineage: Bacteria; Pseudomonadati; Planctomycetota. The record is from RNAcentral.